AGGAAACAACCUGCCACUCGUUCAACAGGUCUUAGGAGCACAGUGAGAGGCUGUGUGUGGAGAAUAAAAACAGGCCUGAUAGUCACACCGCAGCGGGCCAUGGUCAGGAUUCAGUGAGCUCACCAGGCCUGGCUCUGGCUGGAGCUCCAGAGCAGUGGCUUCUGUGACAAAGAACAAAGCCCCCGCGCAGCAGGGCGUUGGUAAUUAAAUCCUUUGUGCGCGAGCCGUCGCACCCCGCCCCUGCUGCUCUGUGUAUUAAUUUCCCUGCACGGACAAGGGUUUCUGGACCUCGGCUGCCGGCGCCCUCGCCCUCGGACUCCCCAGCUCGGCUCCCUUGCUCUCCUGGCACCUGGACGGUGAGCGCAAUAGUAACAAUCUUAGAGCAAACUCAAGAACAG
Long non-coding RNA from Heterocephalus glaber (naked mole-rat), 398 nucleotides. The record is from Ensembl. Lineage: Eukaryota; Metazoa; Chordata; Mammalia; Rodentia; Bathyergidae.